CCACACCACGACUGCUAGCAAAUGGCGUUCCCUGAGACCUCAAUUGUGAUGAGAUACGAGUCAGUCACGGUUUGAGCUCUCAUGGCACGCUAUGCUUGUCGAUGUUGUG
Molecule: microRNA precursor, 109 nt
Filed under: Pristionchus pacificus
Lineage: Eukaryota; Metazoa; Nematoda; Chromadorea; Rhabditida; Neodiplogasteridae
Description: lin-4 stem-loop (ppc-lin-4)
Gene: ppc-lin-4
Source: miRBase by way of RNAcentral